RNAcentral lists this transfer RNA (100 nucleotides) under Actinomycetota bacterium. RNAcentral describes it as "tRNA-Arg". It matches the Rfam family "tRNA", at positions 10 to 71 of the family's 71-position model. From Rfam's summary of the family: Transfer RNA (tRNA) molecules are approximately 80 nucleotides in length. Their secondary structure includes four short double-helical elements and three loops (D, anti-codon, and T loops). Further hydrogen bonds mediate the characteristic L-shaped molecular structure. tRNAs have two regions of fundamental functional importance: the anti-codon, which is responsible for specific mRNA codon recognition, and the 3' end, to which the tRNAs corresponding amino acid is attached (by aminoacyl-tRNA synthetases). tRNAs cope with the degeneracy of the genetic code in two manners: having more than one tRNA (with a specific anti-codon) for a particular amino acid; and 'wobble' base-pairing, i.e. permitting non-standard base-pairing at the 3rd anti-codon position. The record is from RNAcentral. Lineage: Bacteria; Bacillati; Actinomycetota.
GCGACCUGAGAUCCCGAAUUUGGCUUGGUUGAGCCAAAUCUCGCCCUACCGCGUCGGUCUACGGAACCGAAGGUCACAGGUUCGAAUCCUGUCGGGCGCG